This is a long non-coding RNA of Oenanthe melanoleuca, 902 nucleotides long. RefSeq lists it as uncharacterized. Lineage: Eukaryota; Metazoa; Chordata; Aves; Passeriformes; Muscicapidae. The transcript has 2 exons. The record is from RefSeq and is a predicted model, not a curated record.
UGAACUUCCUAAAGGGACAGAGAAAGGCUUCAUUUGAGCAGGUACAAGCAGCGGGUCGGUUCUGCUCCUCCUCUGUGUCAUAUUCAGAAGUGUCGAUGGCUAAAGGUUACAUGAAACCCAAUACGUGCUCGGAGCUCAGGAAGUGCCACGGCAGCGCUCAGAGCCGAGGAGCUGAUAAAGAGUGGAAGGGGAAGGUGUGAAAAGGAACAGGCGCUCGUGAACAGCGUGUCCCCUGCCAGACCCAACAGCUGGCACCGCACCGGCACAAACAGGCUGUUCUGUGCCACCAUCCAAGCACAGGCUCACGGACACCAUCCUUUAUUACAGCUCUAAAUAACAUUAAAGCUGCAUAAAGGAAAAACCUGGUGAAUGGCAGGCCAAUGCCAGAAGGCUCCAACACAGACCCGCACAGCCCAAGGUAUCACCUCUGGGAAAACGUAUCUGACAGGAGGAAAACAUUUUUGAUGGCUCAGGAGCCACCAAAGCCAGAGAGGAAUGAGAAUAUGUGAGAGAAACAACACAGCAAACUCCCAAGUGAGGGAAGAAGGAUGGGAAGGACACACUCCAGCAGCUGUGCAGAUUGCCAUGCAGUCUGCAGUGAAGACCACUGAGAGGAAGGCUGUUCACCUACAGCCCAUGAAUGACCAAAGUGGAGAAAAUCCGAGUGUGAAGAGUCCUCUGAGGAAAAAGCAGCAGAGACGAUAUUUGAUGAACUGACCAAAACCUCCAUUCCCCAUCCCUCUGUGUUCUUCAGAGAUGGGAGGCUGAGAAAACAGAAGUGAAGCUGAACCCAGAAAGAAGGGAGGACUGGGAAGAAGAUGCUUUAAGAAUUUAGUUUAUUUUCAGUUACCCUCUUCUGAAUUAAUUGGUAAUAAAUUAAUUCAUUUUCCCCAUGAGAGUAA